This 1474-nucleotide long non-coding RNA is filed under the name Sus scrofa (pig). RNAcentral describes it as "lncRNA (ENSSSCG00070010421.1)". The record is from RNAcentral. Lineage: Eukaryota; Metazoa; Chordata; Mammalia; Artiodactyla; Suidae.
CUGGGAAUCACUGGCUUAAAUGAUGUCAUAGUUUCCAUUUCCGGAGAUGCCAGAAAAGAGGCCAUAAAGAGCUAACUUCAGCAUGGUGAUUUGGGUUUACUCCCAAGGAAGAAUGUUGGUGUCAAAGACCAUGAUGCAGGAGUAAUUCAAGGUGUGCUGAUAAGAAAAGGAGACUAGGAGGUUUUAGGAGGUUUUUGUUGUUGUUGUUGUUGUUUCAGUUUUAUUGACAUUUAGUUGAUUUACAGGUGUUUUGAAAGUGAAGGGCCAACAGAGAGCUUCUUGGAAAUGUGUUGGCAGAAGGCAAGUGUGCUGACAAUGGUGUCCCUGAAUGGCAGUGAACCAUAUGAGGUGACCUCUUCAGGGUGGAGUCCCAGAUGUCAAGAUGGGAUUUACCAAAAAUCUGCUGCUCUGCUAGAAAUACUGUGGUUCAAAGGCUACAGGCAUGAGAUAAGGAUUCCUGAGGAAAACUUAUGACUCUGUGGAGUUGAGGUUCAGCUUCACUAUUAUCCUCUGAAGGUCCUCCUGUGGACUCUACUUAUAGGAAGUGCUUUGGUGAGUGAGAAAGCCAAGGGAUAAGCAUAAAGAUAAUCCAUCACCUACAUGAGGGAGGCAUAAGGGAUGAUCAAGGCUAUGGAGUCAGCCGAACCUGGGCAGGUCGAGUCACCCUGGGCAAGAUGCUAAUAUCUCUGAGCUGCCAUCUCCUUACUCAUAAAAUAGAGAUAAUAUCAUUGGCAUGCUACCUUGUCAGAGUAUUUUGAGGAAUCAGCAACAUCGGUUUUUUUUUUUUUGUCUUUUUUUGCCAUUUCUUGGGCUGCUCCAGCGGCACAUGGAGGCUCCCAGGCUAGGGGUCCAAUCGGAGCUGUAGCCGCUGGACUACACCAGAGCCACAGCAACUCGGGAUCCAAGUUGCGUCUGCAACCUAUACGACAGCUCACGGCAAUGCCGGAUCCUUAACCCACUGAGCAAGGCCAGGGAUCAAACCUGCAACCUCAUGGUUCCUAGUCGGAUUCGUUAACCACUGAGCCACUACGGGAACUCCCUCAGCAACAUAUUUGUAAAGAGCUCAGUUUAGUGCCGUGGCUCUCAAUCAGCAUGACUGAUUUUCGCUCUCCAGUUAUGGCUGUCAUGCCUGUGGAGAUGGUUCUGGCAUCUGAUGGGUAUAACUAGGGAUGGGCUACAUCCUGCAAGGCACAAGACAACAAAGAAUUUAUCUGGCUCAAAAUGUCAAUCACGCUGAGAGUGAGAAACCCUGGUGUGAUGCCUGACACUGAGUAGGUACUCAAAAAUAGCUACAAUGAUUAGUGUACUUAAAACGUGUAAGACUAUACUAAAUGUGUAACAUUGCUUUUGACCUUAAUCCUUUCAAAAGUUCUAUGGAAGGUAGUUACUAUAAUUAGGUCCACUUUACAGGUGAAGAAACUGGGAGUCUGAGAAUAAGCCUCCCAAGGACAAACAUCUGGUGUGUGGACGCAGG